This 70-nucleotide transfer RNA is filed under the name Rhizobium rosettiformans W3. Its description in RNAcentral is "tRNA-Thr". It matches the Rfam family "tRNA". From Rfam's summary of the family: Transfer RNA (tRNA) molecules are approximately 80 nucleotides in length. Their secondary structure includes four short double-helical elements and three loops (D, anti-codon, and T loops). Further hydrogen bonds mediate the characteristic L-shaped molecular structure. tRNAs have two regions of fundamental functional importance: the anti-codon, which is responsible for specific mRNA codon recognition, and the 3' end, to which the tRNAs corresponding amino acid is attached (by aminoacyl-tRNA synthetases). tRNAs cope with the degeneracy of the genetic code in two manners: having more than one tRNA (with a specific anti-codon) for a particular amino acid; and 'wobble' base-pairing, i.e. permitting non-standard base-pairing at the 3rd anti-codon position. RNAcentral also lists the same sequence under 2 other names. The record is from RNAcentral. Lineage: Bacteria; Pseudomonadati; Pseudomonadota; Alphaproteobacteria; Hyphomicrobiales; Rhizobiaceae.
GCCCGUGUUAAGGGCUGUCACCUGAUUUGUAAUCAGGGGGUCGCGGGUUCGAACCCUGCCGGGGGCACCA